RNAcentral lists this ribosomal RNA (494 nucleotides) under uncultured bacterium. RNAcentral describes it as "partial 16S ribosomal RNA". It matches the Rfam family "Bacterial small subunit ribosomal RNA", at positions 28 to 507 of the family's 1533-position model. The record is from RNAcentral.
GACGAACGCUGGCGGCGUGCUUAACACAUGCAAGUCGAACGGAAAGGCCUGCUUUCCCUUGUGGAUUGCGGGUACUCGAGUGGCGAACGGGUGAGUAACACGUGAGUGAUCUGCCCCCAACUUGGGUAUAAGCCUGGGAAACUGGGUCUAAUUCCCGAUAGGACUGCAGGGUGGUGCCUGUGGUGGAAAACGAUUUUCUAGUGGUUGGGGAUGAGCUCGCGGCCUAUCAGCUUGUUGGUGGGGUAAUGGCCUACCAAGGCGGCGACGGGUAGCCGGCCUGGGAGGGUGGACGGCCACAUUGGGACUGAGAUACGGCCCAGACUCCUACGGGAGGCAGCAGUGGGGAAUAUUGCACAAUGGGCGGAAGCCUGAUGCCGCGACGCCGGGUGGGGGAUGACGGCGUUCGGGUUGUAAUCUCCUUUCGACCGCGAGGAAGCCACCUGGUUGGAAGGGUGGUGACGGUAGUGGUAGAAGAAGCCCCGGCUAACUACGUG